UACGGGGGGGGGCAAGCGUUGUUCGGAAUUACUGGGCGUAAAGGGCUCGUAGGCGGCCAACUAAGUCAGACGUGAAAUCCCCAGGCUCAACCUGGGAACUGCGUCUGAUACUGGAUGGCUUGAAUUCGGGAGAGGGAUGCAGAAUUCCAGGUGUAGCGGUGAAAUGCGUAGAUAUCUGGAGGAAUACCGGUGGCGAAGGCGGCAUCCUGGACCGACAUUGACGCUGAGGAGCGAAAGCUAGGGGAGCAAACGGG
RNAcentral lists this ribosomal RNA (254 nucleotides) under uncultured bacterium. RNAcentral describes it as "partial 16S ribosomal RNA". It matches the Rfam family "Bacterial small subunit ribosomal RNA", at positions 524 to 776 of the family's 1533-position model. The record is from RNAcentral.